CGGGGUGUAGCGAAACCUGGCAUCGCGCUUGCAUUGGGAGCAAGAGACUCCCGGUUCAAAUCCGGGCACCCCGA
RNAcentral lists this transfer RNA (74 nucleotides) under Anaerolineae bacterium. Its description in RNAcentral is "tRNA-Pro". It matches the Rfam family "tRNA". Rfam says of the family: Transfer RNA (tRNA) molecules are approximately 80 nucleotides in length. The record is from RNAcentral. Lineage: Bacteria; Bacillati; Chloroflexota; Anaerolineae.